RNAcentral lists this unclassified non-coding RNA (2456 nucleotides) under Hevea brasiliensis (rubber tree). The record is from RNAcentral. Lineage: Eukaryota; Viridiplantae; Streptophyta; Magnoliopsida; Malpighiales; Euphorbiaceae.
AUUCAGCAAUAUCAGUAUCAGAAUUCCCCAUAACCUCCUGACAAGACCUCUCUAUUGUCUUGCAUUCAGAAUUGCAUUGACCUUCGGCUUCUUGUUCUAGCAGCUCUAACUUAUCCCCUUGCUCCACUAUGUCAAUCUUCAUUAUCCAAUCAGCUUCCUCCUUCUUCAAGUUACAAAUGUUCUCUGCCAUCUCAAUGAUUUGAUAUUCUGAGAUCUUCUUGGGUAAGAUCUCAGCCUUCUUUUUUUCUACUAGCUGGUACAACUCCUUUGCCACCUUUUCACAUACUUGGGAUUUGAUGUAUGGUAUGUCCUCUUUUCUUGCACCAAAAACAGGUUUCUUUGCACAGAGAGAGACUGGCACACAUGUUGACACUAGCAAUACAGUCACUAAAACUACCAGUAUUUGCUUGAUAUUAGCCAUGGCUGUCUCCCUAGCUGCCAAAUCACAGGUUUUAGUUUUCUUUAAAUUUUCUUUUCUUUUUCUAAAAUAAUUUUUUCAAUUUGUUUCUUUUUCAUCAUUUUUAUAAAAGAAAACAUAAAAUGCAUUUAAAAAUUGAAAUUUAAACCUUAAAAAUUCUGAAUAAAUUUCAACAGACAUUUUCCAUAUUUUCAACACAACAAGAGAAGCAAAGAGCAUCACACAAUCAUUAAUUGCUCAACCUGAGCCUGCGCUUGUUCUCUUAUCUGCCUUUUACCAGUCCAAUUCUCCAAAGUAAGAGUAAUCAUUUCCUGUCUAAUAUAUACUCCAUCGUCAAGGUUUCCAUUCUCAUUUUAACCAUUUAAAGAUCAAGCAAAGAAGAUGUGUAUAUUUUUAAAACACAACAAUAAGAUCACAAAUAAGUAUUUCUUAUUUUUUUAAUUAUAAACCCCAUAAUAAUGUAUCCACUACUUGAAGACUCGACAAAGGAAAUCAUGUAAUACCUCCUAAAGUUGCAAAUGAGCUUUCUCAUAUACCUUUAAUUUAAUAAAACUGCAUUCGCUACUAAAGAAAUCCAGCAGAAAAGAAUUAAAUAUUCAAAUAUUUCUUAAGUUUGAAACAUCCAUUCAGAGACUUUUUCACCCAGUAGCAUUAGCAUUCAAUUCAUACUGAUUUGUCUCAUCACUAAAAGCAUUCAAAUGGCAAUAUAAACUAAAAUUCAACAAUCAGCAUAAAUCAAAAACUAAACAAUACAUCAAAAUCAAACCAUCUGAAAGAACAACUCUCAAUCCAAAUCAAGAUUCAACAAUUGGGAAUUGUGAAUAACCAACAUUGUUGGGAAAUCCCACAUUGAAAAUAUACAUAGUGACACGACACAAUAUAAAUGAUUGAGUUGUAACAUUGAAUUGAUUAGUCAUUUUGACGUAUACGAAGCUCAUCACUUAAAUAUGUCUGCAUUAAAAAUGAAUUAAUAUGUAAAAUACCCAGCACUCUCUUCAAAUAUAACAUUAUAUCAGAGCCCACAUUGGAUUAAUGCUAAUUGUCAAGUGACAAAUAUGUGGUUGCACUUGAGGGGAGAGUGUUGGAAAAUCCCAAAUUGAAAACAUACAUUUACAUAGUGAAAGAGAACUAAUAAGUAAAAUGUCUAACACUCUCUCCGACUUGACAAACAUCAUAUCAUCAGAAUUUAAACGUCUGUAUUAAAAAUGAAUUAAUAUGUAACCCUUCGAAUUUAUCAAACAUCACAUCAUCAGAAUUUAACAAGUGUUCACAGGUUAAUGAUACAUGAUCCAUAUUCUAACUUUAAAUAGAACAACUUCCCCUCUUAUAAAAAUAAUUUGAAACUCAUUUCAGAGGAUUUUCAUGCCAAAGUCCAUAAGCAUUCCUCAUCCAACCCACCAAAACGCUAUCACUGAAUCCAGAAUUCAGACCUGAGAUAGUUAUUUCAGUUUACUAAUAAAAGAAUAGUACAAACAAGGAUUCCAAGCUGCAAUCUGAUUUCUGCGGUUCUCGAAGUAUCUCCAAACGCGACUCAAGUCUGAAUCGGGACGAAGCAGGGCAAUAUGAGGUUGCUGGACGAUUUGUGAGAGGCAAAGGAUGUUCACUAGGUCUAGUUUGAAUCAGAAUAGUCCCGGAAAUAUGGCUGAUCACCUCCUUCUUUCAGCUGAACGGAAAGGAAGUCGUAUAAAGCCUCCUGUGGCUGAGCUAUUUGUGGCCGGAAAUUUAUUUCUUGCAGCUGAUCUGAGAAGGGUUGCAAUGAAGAGCUUCGCGACGGUAGGGAAUAAGUUUCUGGGUAUGUCCAACGGCGGUGAUUAGCUAGGCCGGCUUGUUGUUAUCUUCCUACUCCCUUGCUCCAGUCCCUCCAAAUUGAGAAAGAAACAGUUCUCUCGGACGCUAAAUAAGCUGGAAGAAGGAAGAUAAUGAAAGAGGGGGUAAUGAGGUUACUGGGUCACCGGAAAUGGGGUGUUUAGGUCGGAAAUCAGGGGAUCUUGGCCUUGGGGUUGGCCGGAGUUGGGUCCUCUGCCUUGGCUGUUUCUGC